GACGAACGCUGGCGGCGUGCUUAACACAUGCAAGUCGAACGAUGAAGCUGGAGCUUGCUCCGGUGGAUUAGUGGCGAACGGGUGAGUAACACGUGAGCAAUCUGCCCUUGACUCUGGGAUAACUGCGGGAAACUGUAGCUAAUACCGGAUACGACGUUCGGAGGCAUCUCCUGUACGUGGAAAGAAUUUCGGUCAAGGAUGAGCUCGCGGCCUAUCAGCUAGUUGGUGAGGUAAUGGCUCACCAAGGCGACGACGGGUAGCCGGCCUGAGAGGGUGACCGGCCACACUGGGACUGAGACACGGCCCAGACUCCUACGGGAGGCAGCAGUGGGGAAUAUUGCACAAUGGGCGAAAGCCUGAUGCAGCAACGCCGCGUGAGGGAUGAAGGCCUUCGGGUUGUAAACCUCUUUUAGUUGGGAAGAAGCGAAAGUGACGGUACCAACAGAAAAAGCACCGGCUAACUACGUGCCAGCCGCCGCAGUAA
Molecule: ribosomal RNA, 484 nt
Filed under: uncultured bacterium
Lineage: Bacteria
Description: partial 16S ribosomal RNA
Rfam family: Bacterial small subunit ribosomal RNA
Source: RNAcentral